GAUGAACGCUGGCGGCGUGCCUAAUACAUGCAAGUCGAGCGAACAGACGAGGAGCUUGCUCCUCUGACGUUAGCGGCGGACGGGUGAGUAACACGUGGAUAACCUACCUAUAAGACUGGGAUAACUUCGGGAAACCGGAGCUAAUACCGGAUAAUAUAUUGCACCGCAUGGUUCAAUAGUGAAAGACGGUUUUGCUGUCACUUCUAGAUGGAUCCGCGCUGCAUUAGCUAGUUGGUAAGGUAACGGCUUACCAAGGCAACGAUGCGUAGCCGACCUGAGAGGGUGAUCGGCCACACUGGAACUGAGACACGGUCCAGACUCCUACGGGAGGCAGCAGUAGGGAAUCUUCCGCAAUGGGCGAAAGCCUGACGGAGCAACGCCGCGUGAGUGAUGAAGGUCUUCGGAUCGUAAAACUCUGUUAUUAGGGAAGAACAAAUGUGUAAGUAACUAUGCACGUCUUGACGGUACCUAAUCAGAAAGCCACGGCUAACUACGUG
Molecule: ribosomal RNA, 497 nt
Filed under: uncultured bacterium
Lineage: Bacteria
Description: partial 16S ribosomal RNA
Rfam family: Bacterial small subunit ribosomal RNA
Source: RNAcentral